GAGGCAUACGACUUCUACAAUUUGUAUUCAUGGGAAAAGGGGUUUGGCAUCCGCUAUGGCAAGAGCCGGCUAAAUGUCGAGAGGACGAAGUGCAUGCAAGAGAUAGUUUGUGGGUGCUCGGGUAAGGCUGGGGUUGAGAACACAAGGUCUUGUCGUGGCCCAUAAUGUUAUAUUCUGUCUGGGCUGCGGGGAUAGGAACUUCACUUUUCAGUUGGACAGGAGGUUGCAAUUAUCCAGUUCUUCCGGGCAGAAGAGAAGCUGGGAUGGCGGCAUGCUUGCGUAGGAGGGCGACACCAUUGAAGACAUGGAGUUCUUGCUGCAGCCGGUUAAGAGGGCCAGGAUUGGAUCAGCGGCUCCAAGUAGGAGUCCAUGUCGGUCGAGUCGAGGGCUACUGCUUUGGAUACUACUAUAAGGAGCUUCGCCGACAAGCGUGGAGAUUAGGUGAUAAGGCAAAAACUGGGUGCUAGCUUUGAUACGUUCUGAGAGGCUUAUGAUUUUAUAAUCUUUACUCUUGGGAAAAUGGCUUUGGUAUAACAUAUGGGCAGAACAGAUUAAAUGUCGAGAGGACGAAAUGCAUGUAGGAAAUUAUUUGAGGUUGCGUGGGGAAGCAGGGUUAGAGAAUACACAAUCAUGCCAUUGUGAAUGCCCUGCAUUGAUCCGAUUGCUUAGGUUAGAGGACAAUGGUUUGUAAAUAGCUAAGCACAGGGAGAAACACAAUCAUUCACUGUCUCCAAAUUGUUGGGUAACAGUUCACUGGCCGUCCCACAAACACAAAGAUGUUGACAACAUAAUUAGGAGAUUUUUUGGUUAAAUGGAAAAAGUCCCCUUUAUUAAGCGAUCAUUGAGAGCAUUCUGCGGGAAUUUGGGUUGUGAACAAGCGGAUGAUGAUGUGAGGAAACCGAUGGAAUUAUCUAACGAGUUGGGUGCCAGCAAUCCGCAGUUCGCAUAUCGAGUCCAAGCUGAUGGGGAAGACCGAAUAAAAUGUCUGAUGUGGAUGAAUGGUAGCAGCCAUUUGCGACAUGCAUCUGAGCUGUUUACAGGCGAGAUGAACCCUAGAGCUCUUGGCUGGACACAACGGUAUGCGCAUUCAGUGCUACAAAUUCAGGAAAAAGGUAAUGAUUGGUGUGGCCGCGUCAAGGAGGACACCUUGUCCUAAUCGCCCAAGUGCAUAGGAGAAGGCAAUUCACGGGUUCGAUAAGAAUCCAGGGGAGAAUCUGAUUGUACUGAAACUGGGGAUAAGCUUUGAUCUUUAGGUGAAGCAUACGACUUCUACGACUUGUAUUCCUGGGAGAAGGGGUUUGGUAUUACAUAUUGGAAAAGUAGACUAAAUGUUUAGAGGACAAAAUGCAGGCAGGAAAUCAUUUGCAGCUGUGCGGGAAAGGCUGGUGUUGAGAACAGUCGGUCAUGCCAUUGUGAGUGUCCGGCUCUUAUACGACUGUUGCGAUCGGAAGGCAAUGGUUGGUGCAUAUCAAAGCAUCGGGAGGAACACAACCAAUCUUUGUCUCUUAAUUGCGGAGAGACAACACACUGCCUUCACACAAAGACAUCGACGUUUACAACCGAGACUUGGUGAAGCAGCUACAGCAAAAAAAUGUCAAUCUAGCCAAGGUAAUACAACAUCAUAAGGAGUUUUUUUGACCAACCGAGCUCUCCAUAAUCCAUAAUUUGUGUGGAAAAUAAGCCAUGAGCUGGCAUAGGAUGAUGUGAGCAAGACUAUGGAGGUUUUCACUAAACUGGGUGCAAAGGAUCCACAUUUCACUUAGCUUGUGCGUGCUGAUAAGGAAGGGCGAAUCAAAAAAAUGUGGGCGAA
Triticum dicoccoides is the source of this 1810-nucleotide long non-coding RNA. RefSeq lists it as uncharacterized. The record is from RefSeq and is a predicted model, not a curated record. Lineage: Eukaryota; Viridiplantae; Streptophyta; Magnoliopsida; Poales; Poaceae. The transcript is spliced from 6 exons.